CCCGCGGGGGCGGGGCGGGAGGCGCCCCGGGCAGGGUCCGCGCCCACGGCACGGGCGGGACCGGCGGGGCCUUAAGGUCCCUCCAGCCCGGGCUGAAACGCAUCCCGGCCGUUCCAUCAUGAACUUGAGCAGGAUCAGGGACGUCGGAUCCCAAGUCAAAGUCAGAAGACCAGCAUAACACCCCUGAGGCGUUAUUGAUGACGCUCCAGGCAGGGAGGUUUUGCAGACUCACGGAUGUGCACUGCAGUUUGCCACACAGACUGUGCCUGGGAUGGACAAAUGGCACCCAGAGACAAGCACAGUCCUUGCGCGCACUGCGAUCCCGGCUUGAGUUUGCAGGUUGCAGCGUCACAACAAGGGUCGGUGCAUUCCUGAAGAACACAGUGGUUUUACCUCCCUACAGAGCUAGGAGAGGACAUUACCAAACCAAGGGCACGGACAAACCAGACUGCAAAUACACUGCCGCUCUCACGUGUUUUGUGGUUGACAGCCCUUGCUCUAACAGAAGCCAGCAGUGGCUGUAGUGCUUUACUGCAGGUCACCAGAAAAACAUCUGCAUUGAUGUGUUGUGGGCUAUAAGGCAGGUUUACACUUUAAAUGGACAACAAUGCAGCAGAAUACUUUGUUUUUUAAACACUUCUUAUCACCCCUUCCCCCAUCUUAUCGUUCCACUCCACCAGCAGUUUGAUAUGGAGAAUUGUUGGUAUCUUUUCAUGACUCGGAAGAAGGCCAAUACAGUCGAACCAGGGCUUGCUGGCAGCCUUUCGAUUUGUUGGUGGCUUUGUUUGAGGCACUUUUAUUUCCUAAAGAACGAGCCAAUACAUUCCAUUCUUUGAAGGACAUUUUGGUAACACAAAUCUGACUCACAAAAGUAAUUUAGCUGUGGGCAAAGCGCAGGAGUUAUGAUUAGGAAACCUGUGGGUUCUUUAUAGUGUCUUUUCUGUAACAGAAAUAUCCGUGGUGCUAAAACCAGCACAGAAAACAACUGCGUUUCCACACUCUCUGCACAGCAAUGCACUGCUUGUUUAAGUAUUGGCUCAGAGCCCUUUGAGUUCAGUAGCCCUUAACCAAGUUCAUAUGAAAAUCAAAGUAUGAUUUCAGUCUUUUUCUAAAAUUUAUAUUUAUAUUGCUUGCAAAAAUGUAAAUUUACAAGGACACCCCUCAGA
Cuculus canorus (common cuckoo) is the source of this 1166-nucleotide long non-coding RNA. RefSeq lists it as uncharacterized. NCBI's taxonomy places the organism in Eukaryota, Metazoa, Chordata, Aves, Cuculiformes, Cuculidae. The record is from RefSeq and is a predicted model, not a curated record. The transcript is spliced from 3 exons.